UGUUGUCUGCACACUCUUUUGCCCCUGCACUUGCUAGCCGUUUCACCAUGGGCUUGUUCGGUUAGUCUUCAAUUUUAAGAGGAUUGGAAGGAGUUAAGUGAGAUUUUGACCGAAAUCCCCUCUAAUCCACUUGGAUAGGAGACUAACCAAACAAAUCAUGUUUGUGAUUCAAAAGAAGUGAGCAGUGGCAAAAAGGUCAGGAUCAGGAUUCCAUUGUUAACGUGCAAAGUGGAUGGAGCACUUGCUAAGUGUAUCGAGUUAGCUCGGUGGUUAUUUCAUGAAUUAUUUUAUUUCUAACACACCGUGAUUCUUCAAUGUUAUGGAACCAAUCUUCCAAAUGUUUAAUAUAUAUUUUGAUAUUUUUUUGGUUUUUUUCUUGGAAAGAUACCUAUCAAGCCCUACAUUUUCUUCUAACAUAACAUCAGCAUGAAUUUUCUAUUUCAGGUUCCAAUCAUCCUUUUUGGUGCUCCCUAUUUUCAAAGCGAAAUAGUAACUUUGCAGUAGCAGACAAGAGAGGUCUUUCAAAAAAAGACAAGAGAGGUCCUGAAAAUGUGUCUUAAUAUGUGUCCAGACAAUUCGUUCACGUGUCAUAGUAUUCAAUAACUAACAUACUGUUCUUCACAUAUUUUGAGAUGUUUCCUUUGUUUCCUAGGAUUAUAGAGUACAAAAUAUUCUAUCAAGGAUACUCAUAAUUGUCCCCUUGAUAUAUUGCUUCUUUGUCACGUUACUAAGGAACACUCUUUUCCUCAUACAAGCAUCUAAAUUUUGAGAGAGAGAAAAAACAAAUAGGAGAAGUUGAAGUAUGAAAUUAUAUUUAAAAAUACUCAACCUAUAUGGGGGAUAGUCUCUUCUGCGGUAUUGUAUUAAGAAGAAACUUCUCACGUGCGGGCCGAGAAAACACUCCAAAAGGCUAGCUGCCCUAGACGUGCCACAAGGUGAAAUAGAAAAUUAUGAUUAAUGAUGAAUAGUUGUAAAAUAAAGAUAUCCUUAUUUUUCAUUUUUUUUUUCUAAAAGUAGCCACAUUUUCUAUUUUGGGGUGUUUCCUACUUUAUCAUACCAUCCUGUUUUGAGAAGUUUACACUUAGAGAUUCCCCUACUAAUUUAAAGCAAGUGGGAGACAAAGCAGAGGGCCCCUGAAAAUAUCACGAAUCUGUUGUCAAUUUCUUGAAAUUGACUUAGCUUUAAGCGACACCACAAUCACCAACAAAUAUGUCGAAUUCAUAUAUAACGCCUAAUUCUUCUUUACCAUCAUGGAUUGUGAUAUCACAAACUUUUUUCCGUUUACACUCCUUGCUCCUAUCUCCUUUCAAAAUUCAUAAAACACACGUCAUUUCUUAAAGUAAGAUAGUGUAGUCCUUGAAAUUUCCGUCUUCAUGGAGGCCACAUGUUUGUCUUUUGAAUCUACAUUGGCAACACUCUCAUUCUCAGCAGGACCCUGAGACAACUGACAACAAACCUUGAAUAUUGCUGUCAACUUCCAUGCCGCCUGAUUGGUGGUCCCACCACCCUCUCCACGAGCCAUCGCUGGCCACAAGUUUCAGGAGAUGGGGCCCGCAGUGACAUUCAGGGUGGGCCCACAUACGUCACUAGGACAGAUUUAGAUUCCCUAGGAAAACCAUAUUGGCCAAGUGUGUUGAGAUUUUCUUGGCUGAAGAACAAGAGCGUCAGGCCCCAACUCACCUCAUCACCAGUAAGAAAAAGAUUUCAGGGUGCCGUCACAGAGACUCAGAGAGUUUUGUUAUCAGGGUGCAGGUCAGCUGUUGUUGUCGUCGUCCUAAGAAUGUAUAUUAGGGCAAGUGGUCCUAAUCGAAGAAGGUGGUGGUCGACAUGCAUGCCCCAAGUUCAUCAUCAGUUUAUUUGAUCAUUGUUGGUGAUAUGUUAGUUUGGCAUAAGUUUUAGGUAGUUUGAAGGUUUUAUAAUCAGAAACUAUGGCCCUCCACUAGUCCACUUGAAUGAACUCAUUGCCAGCAGCUUGGUGGAGGCAUCAU
Molecule: long non-coding RNA, 1988 nt
Filed under: Sorghum bicolor (sorghum)
Lineage: Eukaryota; Viridiplantae; Streptophyta; Magnoliopsida; Poales; Poaceae
Description: long non-coding RNA (SBIC_LNC015154)
Source: RNAcentral